UGGGAACUCUAACAGUGAGAGAAGCCAUAAGAUGUGAAGCUCACCUUAGGCUUCCAAGCACAAUGACAAAGAAAGAGAUCGACGAGGUGGCAGAAGGAACAAUAAUGGAAAUGGGUCUCCAAGACUGUGCAGAUAUAAUUAUAGGGAACUGGCAUUUGAAGGGAGUUAGCGUGGGGGAGAAGAAAAGACUAAGCAUUGCACUCCAGAUACUUACUAAGCCAGAGCUCUUGUUUUUAGAUGAACCUACCACUGGGCUCGACAGUGCCUCUGCAUUCUUCGUGGUUCGAAUUCUCAGGAACAUUGCAGAAGAUGGGAGGACUGUGGUGUCAUCGAUUCACCAGCCGAGUAGUGAGGUUUUCGCACUUUUCGAUGAGCUUUGCUUGCUGUCUGGUGGGG
RNAcentral lists this long non-coding RNA (396 nucleotides) under Linum usitatissimum (flax). Its description in RNAcentral is "long non-coding RNA (LUSI_LNC006489)". The record is from RNAcentral. Lineage: Eukaryota; Viridiplantae; Streptophyta; Magnoliopsida; Malpighiales; Linaceae.